RNAcentral lists this ribosomal RNA (492 nucleotides) under uncultured soil bacterium. Its description in RNAcentral is "bacterial SSU rRNA". It matches the Rfam family "Bacterial small subunit ribosomal RNA", at positions 26 to 517 of the family's 1533-position model. The record is from RNAcentral.
AGAUUGAACGCUGGCGGCAUGCCUUACACAUGCAAGUCGAACGGCAGCGCGGGGCAACCUGGCGGCGAGUGGCGAACGGGUGAGUAAUAUAUCGGAACGUACCCUGGAGUGGGGGAUAACGUAGCGAAAGUUACGCUAAUACCGCAUACGAUCUAAGGAUGAAAGUGGGGGAUUCGCAAGAACCUCAUGCUCCUGGAGCGGCCGAUAUCUGAUUAGCUAGUUGGUGGGUAAAGGCCUACCAAGGCAUCGAUCAGUAGCUGGUCUGAGAGGACGACCAGCCACACUGGAACUGAGACACGGUCCAGACUCCUACGGGAGGCAGCAGUGGGGAAUUUUGGACAAUGGGCGAAAGCCUGAUCCAGCAAUGCCGCGUGAGUGAAGAAGGCCUUCGGUGUAAAGCUCUUUGUCAGGAAGAAACGGUGAAGGCUAAUAUCCUUUGCUAAUGACGGUACCUGAAGAAUAAGCACCGGACUAACUACGUGCCAGCAGCCG